CACAUGGCGCCUGCACGAUACAACAUUAGAAUACAAGUUGUACUAAUCAUUAAGGUGGUUGUCAGCAUGACUUUCAACUGCACAAUAUGCAUGAAUUCAAAAACGUUCUGCUGAGUUGGCCCUAGAAAAUGUAGCCUAGAUAGUAUCACUUCUUUAUGUCCCUUGUGAAACCGGUUCUACUACUAGCAAGUAAGUACACUUCUCUCCACAGUUCUGAAGGAAAUACAUUCACCCAAAACAACUUUUUACUGAAUUACCUUAGACAUAUCAUUUACAAUUGAUAGUCUUUUAACAUCCCCCACAAACCAAAUAGUUGUAACCUACAACUAGAUGCGAACUCAUCGAACUGAACAAAUCGAACUGAACAAAUAAAAGAGCAAUGGACUUUUAAAAACGUCCCUAACAUUCCCUGUAUACAACUGAACCUUGGCUAUUUUCAAUUCUCUGCCUGUUUCAUUAAAAAAAACUGCAAAAAUACUGCAGGGACUUUCCUAGUCAUAUAACACAUGCAGAACCUGCUCCACCUGUCCCACCAUGCCUUACUGCCCUCCUGAUCUAACAGAACUGGACAGGGGAAAACAAAUACCAUAAUGCUUUCACCUGUCUCCUGUUUAGAUCAAUGACAAUGAAAGAAAGGAGAUAGAGGAAGCCACUGUAGACUAUUGAGGUGCACCCCUACAGUAGGCUGUGGCUGCCUUGUUAUCAGUCUUGUGUUUCUCUCCCUCAGGAAUGGCAGACCAAGGAGCUGCUCUCACUUAUGACUCCACUGUCUGAUGAAGAAACAAAGCCGCUUGAUGACAAUGGAUCCUCCUCAAGAGGUCAAAAGGGCAGACUAACAUCCCAGGCAGUAACAUCCCAGUCUGCUUCAGUGGUCCAGAAAUCAGGAGCAAACACAGAAGAGAUGGAUAGUGAUGAUUCGCUCACCCCCUGCCAUGUCAGCUGACCAGGAAUGAGGCAAGCCGCCUCGUUACCCCUGAGACUGUCUGGAGGCCUUCCUCUCCUCUGAGGACCCAGCGAGGGUGGAGCACAGUGAGACACUUCUACAGCCAGAGAGUCAAGAAAUGGAACAGCAAGGCCACAGAACAUGACAUACGCAGGCAGAGCUGUGGGAGACUACCUGAAGCAUUCCCCUGGUAGAGCCAGAGGAUGGUGUUUACCAAACCACCACCAAACAUCUUCAACAGGCUUGAAAAGUGGGAUUGAUCUGUUUGAUCCAUUUUUUUUGUUUCAGUUUUCAUUAGUUGAAUCCUUCGACUUAUUAAUGAUAAAAAUAAAUGUUUUUAACAAAAAUGCACUGGAUUCGUUCAAAGGUGAUACUAAACAUCCAUCAUUUUGACACAGAGGAAGAUAUACUACAUUUAUACAGUUUUUGAUUGAAAGAUGGACCAAAAUAUGUGUUACUUUAGCACAUUUCUGUUCAUUAGUUUUGCAAGAAUGUUGAUUGGUCGGUCAUUGGGUUCAUUAGUACAGCAAUAUGUUGAUGCCAUUGAUUAAAAGAGUAAGAAUAUGAUGCAAUAUUUGACACUUGUUUUACUUCAUUGUUUGCAAACAAUAUAAUUGUAAAAAAAAAAAGUCAGUUGGUUGCAUAAAUAAUGAUGAUUACUACAUGUUAUAUGAAAUAUCAAAACGGAAUUGUUCAAAUGUAAUGGCUAUAAUUCACUUAAUGUUAAGGUAUGGAAUAAUAAAUGUAUCCUUUUUCACGCUGGAUGUUUGAAAUAUGAGAAGGUGAUGAUUCGAGUCAUAGUUCUUCAUUAGUGGAAUAAAGACAAUUAGCACUAA
This is a non-coding RNA of Oncorhynchus mykiss (rainbow trout), 1779 nucleotides long. NCBI's taxonomy places the organism in Eukaryota, Metazoa, Chordata, Actinopteri, Salmoniformes, Salmonidae. The record is from RefSeq and is a predicted model, not a curated record.